Molecule: long non-coding RNA, 524 nt
Organism: Labeo rohita (rohu)
Lineage: Eukaryota; Metazoa; Chordata; Actinopteri; Cypriniformes; Cyprinidae
Exons: 4
Source: RefSeq, a predicted model, not a curated record
AAAGAGAAAGGGAAGAGAAGAGAAAAUGCCAGAUCGCCCAGCGAGGCAGGCCUGUACCUGAGCGCCACGCUUCAACUGGAUCUUCUGAAGUGCAGCUCAUUUGGGGGUUAAUUGGUCAAGACCUGCAAAAAAAAAAAGAUGAUUAAUUUGGCGCGUGUUCAUGAUAAAUACGGGGUGAAGAAGUUUUGGGAGGAGAAGAUCGAAAGCCACAUUGAGAGGACGGGAAAUGAAGACUCGAGAAUGAAAAGCAGCGCUUUAUCCAAGUUACGUGAGGAGUGGGUCCAGAGGCUUCAAUUUCGAAACCAGCAUGUGAUCGAGAGCAUGAGAGAGGAACAAAUAAGAAGAGCUCAGAGAGUUCAAGGGAUUUUAGGAGUUUAGAUGGCUUGAAUGAUUUGAGGUCAUUGUUAAAUCCAAAAGCACUUCUCUAACGCAUUUCCUAAGAAUACAUUAUACAUCAGUUUAUUUCUUUAACUUAAAUGACUUAAAUAGUUUUUUGAUGCAGCCUUUGGGACAGAAAGACGCUG